GUGAGGGACUGGGAUUUGUGGGGCGAGGAGGGACCUGUACUAGCCAUGGUUCUGAUCACGUAUGUCCCAUCCCUCCAUCAG
This is a microRNA precursor of Cercocebus atys (sooty mangabey), 81 nucleotides long. NCBI's taxonomy places the organism in Eukaryota, Metazoa, Chordata, Mammalia, Primates, Cercopithecidae. The record is from Ensembl.